This 353-nucleotide ribosomal RNA is filed under the name uncultured bacterium. RNAcentral's name for it is "bacterial SSU rRNA". It matches the Rfam family "Bacterial small subunit ribosomal RNA", at positions 29 to 408 of the family's 1533-position model. The record is from RNAcentral.
AGCGAACGCUGGCGGCAGGCUUAACACAUGCAAGUCGAACGGGCACUUCGGCGUCAGUGGCAGACGGGUGAGUAACGCGUGGGAACAUACCUCUUGGUUCGGAACAACACAGGGAAACUUGUGCUAAUACCGGAUAAGCCCUUACGGGAAGAUUUAUCGCCGAGAGAUUGGCCCGCGUCUGAUUAGCUAGUUGGUGUGGUAAAAGCGCACCAAGGCGACGAUCAGUAGCNGGUCUGAGAGGAUGAUCAGCCACAUUGGGACUGAGACACGGCCCAAACUCCUACGGGAGGCAGCAGGUGGGGAAGUAUUGGACAAUGGGCGGCAAGCCUGAUCCAGCCAUGCCGCGUGAGUGA